RNAcentral lists this ribosomal RNA (217 nucleotides) under Candidatus Rickettsiella viridis. Its description in RNAcentral is "partial 16S ribosomal RNA". It matches the Rfam family "Bacterial small subunit ribosomal RNA", at positions 221 to 437 of the family's 1533-position model. Lineage: Bacteria; Pseudomonadati; Pseudomonadota; Gammaproteobacteria; Legionellales; Coxiellaceae. The record is from RNAcentral.
UAGGUUGAGCCUACGUCGGAUUAGCUAGUUGGUGGGGUAAAGGCCUACCAAAGCGACGAUCCGUAGCUGGUCUGAGAGGAUGACCAGCCACACUGGGACUGAGACACGGCCCAGACUCCUACGGGAGGCAGCAGUGGGGAAUCUUGGACAAUGGGGGAAACCCUGAUCCAGCGAUACCGCGUGUGUGAAGAAGGCCUUCGGGUUGUAAAGCACUUUA